GGAGAUAUAGCUCAGUUGGUAGAGCGAUAGGCUGUUAACCUAUGUGUCGAGAGUUCAAGUCUCUCUAUCUCCUCCA
RNAcentral lists this transfer RNA (76 nucleotides) under Clostridium baratii. RNAcentral's name for it is "tRNA-Asn". It matches the Rfam family "tRNA". From Rfam's summary of the family: Transfer RNA (tRNA) molecules are approximately 80 nucleotides in length. Their secondary structure includes four short double-helical elements and three loops (D, anti-codon, and T loops). The record is from RNAcentral. RNAcentral also lists the same sequence under 1 other name. Lineage: Bacteria; Bacillati; Bacillota; Clostridia; Eubacteriales; Clostridiaceae.